AAUAAGGGAGCCGUAGAGAAAUCGAGUCUGAAUAGGGCGAUAGUCGCUGGGAGUAGACCCGAAACCGGGCGAUCUAGCCAUGUGCAGGAUGAAGGUUGGGUAACACCAACUGGAGGUCCGAACCGGGUAAUGUUGAAAAAUUAUCGGAUGACGUGUGGCUAGGAGUGAAAGGCUAAUCAAGCCCGGAGAUAGCUGGUUCUCCCCGAAAGCUAUUUAGGUAGCGCCUCGUGAAUGAUUACUGGGGGUAGAGCACUGUUUCGGCUAGGGGGCUGUCAUGGCUUACCAAACCGAUGCAAACUCCGAAUACCGGCUAAUUGAAUCACGGGAGACACACGGCGGGUGCUAACGUCCGUCGUGGAGAGGGAAACAACCCAGACCGCCAGCUAAGGUCCCCAAGUACUAGUUAAGUGGGAAACGAUGUGGGAAGGCAUAGACAGCCAGGAGGUUGGCUUAGAAGCAGCCACCCUUUAAAGAAAGCGUAAUAGCUCACUGGUCGAGUCGGCCUGCGCGGAAGAUGUAACGGGGCUAAAACUAGUCACCGAAGCUGCGGAUGUGCGCGAAGGCGCACGUGGUAGGGGAGCGUUCUGUAGGCUGAUGAAGGUGCAUUGAGAAGUGUGCUGGAGGUAUCAGAAGUGCGAAUGCUGACAUGAGUAACGAUAAUGUGGGUGAAAAGCCCACACGCCGGAAGUCCCAGGUUUCCUGCACGACGUUAAUCGGAGCAGGGUGAGUCGGCCCCUAAGGCGAGGCUGAAGAGCGUAGUCGAUGGGAACCAGGUUAAUAUUCCUGGACUUUUUAUAAGUGGUGAAGUGGGGACGAAGAAGGCUAGGUGAGCCAGGCGUUGGUUGUCCUGGUACUUGCAUGUAGGGGGGAAGACUUGGCAAAUCCGGUUUUCCAUAACUCUGAGGUGCGAAGUGGUUCUGACCUUUUGGUACAGAGAAGUCAUUGAUGCCCGGCUUCCAGGAAAAGCUGCUAGCCAUAACUUAUAGAGAACCGUACCGCAAACCGACACAGGUGGACAGGUAGAGAAUACUAAGGCGCUUGAGAGAACUCGGGUGAAGGAACUAGGCAAAAUGGUACCGUAACUUCGGGAGAA
Molecule: ribosomal RNA, 1093 nt
Filed under: Legionella pneumophila
Lineage: Bacteria; Pseudomonadati; Pseudomonadota; Gammaproteobacteria; Legionellales; Legionellaceae
Description: partial 23S ribosomal RNA
Rfam family: Bacterial large subunit ribosomal RNA
Source: RNAcentral